This 470-nucleotide ribosomal RNA is filed under the name uncultured bacterium. Its description in RNAcentral is "partial 16S ribosomal RNA". It matches the Rfam family "Bacterial small subunit ribosomal RNA", at positions 28 to 523 of the family's 1533-position model. The record is from RNAcentral.
GACGAACGCUGGCGGCGUGCUUAUCACAUGCAAGUCGAGCGGGGAACUACGGUUCCCAGCGGCGGACGGGUGAGUAACACGUGGGUAACCUGCCUCAUAGGGGGGAAUAGCCUUCCGAAAGGAAGAUUACUACCGCAUAAUACUCGGAAAUAACACGAUUUCUGAGCCAAAGGAUUUAUUCGCUAUGAGAUGGAACCGCGGCGCAUUAGCUUGUUGGUGAGGUAACGGCUCACGAAGGCUUCGAUGCGUAGCCGACCUGAGAGGGUGAUCGGCAACAUUGGAACUGAGACACGGACCAGACUCCUACGGGAGGCAGCAGUGGGGAAUAUUGCACAAUGGGGGAAACCCUGAUGCAGCAACGCCGCGUGGGUGAUGAAGGUCUUCGGAUCGUAAAACUCUGUCUUAUGGGACGAUAAUGACGGUACCAUAGGAGGAAGCCACGGCUAACUACGUGCCAGCAGCCGCGGUAA